RNAcentral lists this unclassified non-coding RNA (127 nucleotides) under Exophiala dermatitidis. RNAcentral describes it as "sequence contains ITS1". Lineage: Eukaryota; Fungi; Ascomycota; Eurotiomycetes; Chaetothyriales; Herpotrichiellaceae. The record is from RNAcentral.
CGAGUUAGGGUCUUCUCAGGCCCGACCUCCCAACCCUUUGUUUACCCGACCCAUGUUGCUUCGGCGGGCCCGCCGUUUCGACGGCCGCCGGAGGACCGCCUAUUCAGGUCCUCUGGCCCGCGCCCGC